This 206-nucleotide unclassified non-coding RNA is filed under the name Hevea brasiliensis (rubber tree). The record is from RNAcentral. Lineage: Eukaryota; Viridiplantae; Streptophyta; Magnoliopsida; Malpighiales; Euphorbiaceae.
GGAAAAAGCUUGAAGAAGUCAGAAGUUGCCCACUUGAAUUGGGGGACUUGAAAAUAGUUAGCCUUGGAAAAAUAGUAGAAGAUUCGGAGCUCUUUCGAGAUGAGGAAUUUAUCUGGCCAGAAGGUUAUACUGCUGUGAGGAAGUUGCCAUCAGUAACAGAUCCCAGUGUACGUGUAUCAUAUAAGAUGGAGGUACUGAGAGAUCCU